Molecule: ribosomal RNA, 468 nt
Filed under: uncultured bacterium
Lineage: Bacteria
Description: partial 16S ribosomal RNA
Rfam family: Bacterial small subunit ribosomal RNA
Source: RNAcentral
GACGAACGCUGGCGGCGUGCUUAACACAUGCAAGUCGAACGGAAAGGCCCUGCUUUGGGGGGGUGCGCGAGUGGCGAACGGGUGAGUAACACGUGAGUAACCUGCCCUUGACUUUGGGAUAACUUCAGGAAACUGGGGCUAAUACCGGAUAGGAGCUCCUGCUGCAUGGUGGGGGUUGGAAAGUUUCGGCGGUUGGGGAUGGACUCGCGGCUUAUCAGCUUGUUGGUGGGGUAGUGGCUUACCAAGGCUUUGACGGGUAGCCGGCCUGAGAGGGUGACCGGCCACAUUGGGAUUGAGAUACGGCCCAGACUCCUCCGGGAGGCAGCAGUGGGGAAUAUUGCACUAUGGGCGGAAGCCUGAUGCAGCAACGCCGCGUGCGGGAUGACGGCCUUCGGGUUGUAAACCGCUUUCGCCUGUGACGAAGCGUGAGUGACGGUAAUGGGUAAAGAAGCACCGGCUAACUACGUG